This 264-nucleotide ribosomal RNA is filed under the name uncultured bacterium. RNAcentral describes it as "partial 16S ribosomal RNA". It matches the Rfam family "Bacterial small subunit ribosomal RNA", at positions 793 to 1055 of the family's 1533-position model. The record is from RNAcentral.
GUCCACGCCCUAAACGAUGCGAACUGGACGUUGGGAGCAACUAGGCUCUCAGUGUCGAAGCUAACGCGUUAAGUUCGCCGCCUGGGGAGUACGGUCGCAAGACUGAAACUCAAAGGAAUUGACGGGGGCCCGCACAAGCGGUGGAGUAUGUGGUUUAAUUCGAUGCAACGCGAAGAACCUUACCUGGCCUUGACAUCCACGGAAGUCUGCAGAGAUGCGGAUGUGCCUUCGGGAACCGUGAGACAGGUGCUGCAUGGCUGUCGU